GUGCAGCCCCCUGUUCUGUAGGAUUGUUAGGUACCAAUAACCAAUCGAUCAAUAAAUACCAGAAGAGAUGCCGUAGAUCAGCAAACCAGACAUUCAGCAUGACAAGGUGGACGAAGGACGGGCGAGUAAGCGUGAGGAAGUGGAAGGGGAGCGUUCGGUAAGACGCCAUCAUGAGACCCAGGAGGCAGGCAUUCAGUUAUCACAAAGAACCAGAAAAAACAAAUACGCACUCCAACCUCAUGGACAGAGAGAGGACACAAACGAACAACGCCGAGACCCAGUCGGGACUGGGAGACGGGAACAGAACCGUAGCAGAGCUCACGGCAGCAAGAGGGCUUUGUGGGCAGCGCCAGGACCGGAAACCGACCCAUUCCUAGAGCAGCCGCCUUAUCAGCACCGACUCAGGAAGAAAGAGUAUAAGCCCCACCGUCUCUGCAGCCAUUAAAGGAAGAUAAAAUCUCCCCUCCAGGAAAUGUCAAGCGCAGAUGACGGUGCAGACAAGCCGCCGAGCUGGGAAUCCUGCACCAACUCUUCAGGUAAUGGGGCCGGGACAGCAGGACGCGGCUGGGCCUGCCGCAUGCAGCUCACGUCCCACCACUCCAAACCCGAAAGCAGAUGCUGACCAGCUUUGCUCCUGAACAGAGCUGCCAGCAAACCAGCAGGAGGUGUGGGGAGGAGGGGAAGGCCAGGAGGGCCUCUUGGGCUUUGCCCACCAGGAGAUCCCUCAAUAGAUUCAAAACUAUGUUGACAGGCUUUAUCAAUCGAGGAAAGCAAAGUAUAAGAUUUAACAUCUGUCCAUGAGUUUAACAAACUUAGACCACAAGGAGAAGAGAAUAGCCGUUGAAGACAACGUACAUACCUUGUUUUCUUUCUUUUUGGUGGUGCUCAGUGUGAACCCAGGGCCUUGCACAUGCCAGGCAAGUGCUCUACCACCUAGUCCCAGCCAUAGCCAAAAUGGUUUAUUUUUAUUUAUUUGCUUAUGGUACUAGGGAUUGAGCCCAGGGACGUCAACCAUUGAGUGACAUUCCCAGUCCUUUUUAUUUUUUAUUUUGAGGUAGGGUCUCGCUAAGUUGCUGACGCUGGCUUUGAAUCUGCCAUCCUCCAGUCUCAGUUUCCCUGAGUAGUCGGGAUCACAGAGCGAAUCCCUGUGCCUGGCUAACACAGAUUAUUUUUUAAAAAUUAACAAAACCAUGCUGGGGUGCAGCUCAGUGGUAGAGCACGUGUUUAGCAUGUGAAAGGCCCCAACACAGCAAAAACUAAUUUUUUAAUUUUUUUGUACUGGAGAUUAAACCCAGGGAAGCUUUACCAUCCAGUUACAUUCCCUGCGCUUUUUAUUUUUUAUUUUGAGACAGGGUCUUGCUAAACUACUUAGGGCCUCACUAAGUUGCUGAGGCUGGCUUCGAACUUGCGAUCCUCCUGCCUCAGCCUCCCAAACUGCUGGGAUUACGGGCAUGUGCCACUGCGCCCAGCCAAAAUAAUUUUUUAAAACAACAAACUCAAUGGUAGAAUAUUAAAAACUUUCUCUUGAAAAUUAGGAACAACUGAAAGACGUCCGAUCUUACCACUUUGAGUCCACAUGAUAACAGAGAUGCUGGGCAGCUCAGGAAGACAAGCAAGACAAGAACACGAGGGAACUGGAAAGGAAGACACGAGACCAGUCAGAGAUGUAUUUGAAUGGCUUUCCCAGAAAACCCUCAGGGGGCCUGGGGCCGGGGCUCAGCGGUGCAAGCUCUUCAUGCCCAGGCCUUGGGUUCUGUCCCCAAGGCCCAAACCAAGGGAAAUAGAGAACCCUAGGGAACACAGGAUAGGCUGUGAAGCAUUUAGAUACGUUGCUGCAUACAAAAUCAGAGUGCUAAGAUUGACCACGUGUCUACAGUGUUGUCGCACCAACGGCCGUCUGCAAAAAUAGGUAAUAAACACGGUGCAGUUUGCAAUCGCACUUAGAAAGAAACACUGAAAAGCAUCAAGACCUCGACGGGGAGCGCCAUACAUUUGCCUGACAGACCUUAAAAGAACUGCACAAACAGUGUCCCGUCAUGUUUUUGAAGACAUAACCUCAAAAUAAAUCAAUUCUCUCCCAGCCAACCUACAGACUCAAUGUUAUUUCAAUCCAGACUCCAGUGAUUGCUUCUGCUUUGUUUUGAAUUUGUUGAACCGCAUCCUUAAUUUGCAGGUUACAAGAUAGUGACAUAAAUAGAAUCUCAUUUUUACAAGGCAAACAUGAACACGUAAAUGCUCUGGGGAAAUCCAGGUGCCACUCAGUUGGGUUCUUAUCGACUUCUAAGCUCCUUCUUGUUGGCAAAAUUCAGAUCCUUCUGGUGUGGGACUAAGGUCCCUGUUUCCUUGCUGGAUGGCAGCUGGCAGCGAUUCUCAGCACCUAGACUGUCCCCGCUGCUUGCCACAGGACACAUCCACACCAGCAAGAGUGCACUGAGUGCCCCUCAUGCUUUGAGUCUCUGACUUCCUUUCCUGGGACCAUCUGGAGAAAACUCUUUGCAUUCAAAGGGUAGUGUGGUUAGGCGAAACCCACCUGAAUAUUUUCUUUUAUAAGGUCAACGGAUUUGGAACCUUCAUUAUAUCUGUAAAUCCCCUUCACAGUAGUACCUAGAUUAGUGCUGGAUCAAAUAGCUGGAACAAAGGGUGUCUACACCUGGCGCCUGGGAUUUUAUUGUGGGGGGACAUCUUAGAAUUAUGCCAGCCUUGCUGAGAUUAUGGAUUGUGUGCAUGCUUUUGUGUAUUUUACAAUGGCGCUACAUGGAUUUGGGGUUAACCGGGUGCACUGGUACACACCUGUAAUCGUAGCAACUCAGAAGGCUG
Molecule: long non-coding RNA, 2817 nt
Filed under: Marmota monax (woodchuck)
Lineage: Eukaryota; Metazoa; Chordata; Mammalia; Rodentia; Sciuridae
Source: RNAcentral